This 500-nucleotide long non-coding RNA is filed under the name Coffea arabica (coffee). RNAcentral's name for it is "long non-coding RNA (CARA_LNC002796)". Lineage: Eukaryota; Viridiplantae; Streptophyta; Magnoliopsida; Gentianales; Rubiaceae. The record is from RNAcentral.
CCACUAGACCUUCCACCAAGAAACAGAUACACACAAUGGCGUUCCCUUCAUUCUCCCUCAUUUUCCUCCUCUUCUGUUUCCUGGUCUCAUCCCUCAUUGCCUCCGCUUCCCCAGUGCGAGACCCUGAAUUAGUUGCACAAGAAGUACAAAGGUACAUUACAUACAUACAUACAUAUAUAUAUAUUCUAGUGUGUGUACUAUGUGUUCCACUAAGGCCCGUACAUACACUGGUACUAGCUAGUUCAAAACAGUUUAGAUGUUACUGGUCUUUAUUUAUGUAUAUAUAUAAUAUAUAUGUGCAACAUUUUGUUGAAUGCAGGAGCAUUGCUAAUGCCACAAGGGCUAGGAGAAAAUUGGGGUAUCUUUCAUGCGGCACCGGGAAUCCGAUCGACGAUUGCUGGAGGUGCCAGCCCGAUUGGGAGCAAAACCGGCAGAGGCUGGCGGAUUGCGGCAUUGGGUUCGGCAAGAAUGCUGUUGGUGGAAGGGAUGGGCGAAUUUAC